This 1264-nucleotide ribosomal RNA is filed under the name Pseudomonas lini. RNAcentral's name for it is "bacterial SSU rRNA". It matches the Rfam family "Bacterial small subunit ribosomal RNA", at positions 43 to 1310 of the family's 1533-position model. The record is from RNAcentral. Lineage: Bacteria; Pseudomonadati; Pseudomonadota; Gammaproteobacteria; Pseudomonadales; Pseudomonadaceae.
CAUGCGCCGCCUACCAUGCAAGUCGAGCGGUAGAGAGGUGCUUGCACCUCUUGAGAGCGGCGGACGGGUGAGUAAUGCCUAGGAAUCUGCCUGGUAGUGGGGGAUAACGCUCGGAAACGGACGCUAAUACCGCAUACGUCCUACGGGAGAAAGCAGGGGACCUUCGGGCCUUGCGCUAUCAGAUGAGCCUAGGUCGGAUUAGCUAGUUGGUGAGGUAAUGGCUCACCAAGGCGACGAUCCGUAACUGGUCUGAGAGGAUGAUCAGUCACACUGGAACUGAGACACGGUCCAGACUCCUACGGGAGGCAGCAGUGGGGAAUAUUGGACAAUGGGCGAAAGCCUGAUCCAGCCAUGCCGCGUGUGUGAAGAAGGUCUUCGGAUUGUAAAGCACUUUAAGUUGGGAGGAAGGGCAGUUACCUAAUACGUAAUUGUUUUGACGUUACCGACAGAAUAAGCACCGGCUAACUCUGUGCCAGCAGCCGCGGUAAUACAGAGGGUGCAAGCGUUAAUCGGAAUUACUGGGCGUAAAGCGCGCGUAGGUGGUUCGUUAAGUUGGAUGUGAAAGCCCCGGGCUCAACCUGGGAACUGCAUUCAAAACUGUCGAGCUAGAGUAUGGUAGAGGGUGGUGGAAUUUCCUGUGUAGCGGUGAAAUGCGUAGAUAUAGGAAGGAACACCAGUGGCGAAGGCGACCACCUGGACUGAUACUGACACUGAGGUGCGAAAGCGUGGGGAGCAAACAGGAUUAGAUACCCUGGUAGUCCACGCCGUAAACGAUGUCAACUAGCCGUUGGGAGCCUUGAGCUCUUAGUGGCGCAGCUAACGCAUUAAGUUGACCGCCUGGGGAGUACGGCCGCAAGGUUAAAACUCAAUGAAUUGACGGGGCCCGCACAAGCCGUGGAGCAUGUGUUUAAUUCGAAGCAACGCGAAGAACCUUACUCAGGCCUUGACAUUCAAUGAACUUUCAGAGAAUGGAUUGGUGCUUCGGGAGCAUGAAGACAGUGCUGCAUGCUGUCGUCAGCUCGUGUCGUGAGAAUGAUGGGUAAGUCCCGUACGAGCGCACCAUGUCUAGUACUAGCCACGUAUGAUGGUCACUCUAAGAAACUGCGGUGACUACGAGAGUGGGAUGACUCAGUCAUCAUGCUACGGCCUGGGCUAGCACUGCUACAUGGUCGUACGAGCUGCAGUCGCAGUGAGCUAUCCAAAAUGAUCGUAUCGAUCGAUUGACCGACUGCUGAGUCGAUCCUGAUCGGAUCGAGUUCCGAGU